AGGGCACCACCAGGAGUGGAGCCUGCGGCUUAAUUUGACUCAACACGGGGAAACUCACCCGGCCAGGACACAAUAAGGAUUGACAGAUUGAUAGCUCUUUCUUGAUUUUGUGGGUGGUGGUGCAUGGCCGUUCUUAGUUGGUGGAGCGAUUUGUCUGGUUAAUUCCGAUAACGAACGAGACUCUAGCCUAUUAAAUAGACGAUAUAUUAUUAGUUUAUCGAGCUUCUUAGAGGGACAGGCAGCUUCUAGCUGCACGAGAUUGAGCAAUAACAGGUCUGUGAUGCCCUUAGAUGUCCGGGGCUGCACGCGCGCUACAAUGAUAAUAGCAGCGUGCAUUAAAACCUUUUCUGGUAAGAAUUGGUAAACACGAAAUACUGUCGUGCUUGGGAUAGGGGAUUGAAAUUAUUGCCCUUAAACGAGGAAUUCCCAGUAAGUGCGAGUCAUUAGCUUGCGUUGAUUACGUCCCUGCCCUUUGUACACACCGCCCGUCGCUACUACCGAUUGGAAGAUUUAGUGAAU
RNAcentral lists this ribosomal RNA (519 nucleotides) under uncultured eukaryote. Its description in RNAcentral is "SSU rRNA". It matches the Rfam family "Eukaryotic small subunit ribosomal RNA", at positions 1161 to 1706 of the family's 1831-position model. The record is from RNAcentral.